This 297-nucleotide ribosomal RNA is filed under the name uncultured microorganism. RNAcentral describes it as "partial 16S ribosomal RNA". It matches the Rfam family "Bacterial small subunit ribosomal RNA", at positions 505 to 796 of the family's 1533-position model. The record is from RNAcentral.
GUGCCAGCAGCCGCGGUAAUACGGAGGGUGCGAGCGUUAAUCGGAAUUACUGGGCGUAAAGCGCGCGUAGGUGGUUAAUUAAGUCAGAUGUGAAAGCCCAGGGCUCAACCUUGGAACUGCAUUUGAAACUGGUUAACUAGAGUUUUGUAGAGGGUGGGUAGAAUUUCAGGGUGUAGCGGGUGAAAUGCGUAGAGAUCUGAAGGAAUACCAGUGGCGAAGGGCGGCCACCUGGGACAAAGACUGACACUGAGGCGCGAAGGCGUGGGGAGCAAACGGGAUUAGAUACCCCGGUAGUCC